This 302-nucleotide ribosomal RNA is filed under the name uncultured bacterium. RNAcentral describes it as "partial 16S ribosomal RNA". It matches the Rfam family "Bacterial small subunit ribosomal RNA", at positions 508 to 807 of the family's 1533-position model. The record is from RNAcentral.
GCAGCAGCCGCGGUAAUACCGAGGGUGCGAGCGUUAAUCGGAUUUACUGGGCGUAAAGCGUGCGUAGGCGGCUUCUUAAGUCGGAUGUGAAAUCCCUGAGCUUAACUUAGGAAUUGCAUUCGAUACUGGGAAGCUAGAGUAUGGGAGAGGAUGGUAGAAUUCCAGGUGUAGCGGUGAAAUGCGUAGAGAUCUGGAGGAAUACCGAUGGCGAAGGCAGCCAUCUGGCCUAAUACUGACGCUGAGGUACGAAAGCAUGGGGAGCAAACAGGAUUAGAUACCCGGGUAGUCCCUGUCUCUUAUAC